GCGCCGAAAUAAGAUCAGCUGGAUAGAGCGUUGCCCUCCGAAGGCAAAGGCCAGUGGUUCGAAUCCACUUGGGUGCACCA
Molecule: transfer RNA, 80 nt
Filed under: Sphingobium sp.
Lineage: Bacteria; Pseudomonadati; Pseudomonadota; Alphaproteobacteria; Sphingomonadales; Sphingobiaceae
Description: tRNA-Arg
Rfam family: tRNA (bases 12-69)
About the family: Transfer RNA (tRNA) molecules are approximately 80 nucleotides in length. Their secondary structure includes four short double-helical elements and three loops (D, anti-codon, and T loops).
Source: RNAcentral